This 466-nucleotide ribosomal RNA is filed under the name uncultured bacterium. Its description in RNAcentral is "partial 16S ribosomal RNA". It matches the Rfam family "Bacterial small subunit ribosomal RNA", at positions 28 to 507 of the family's 1533-position model. The record is from RNAcentral.
GAUGAACGCUGGCGGCGUGCUUAACACAUGCAAGUCGAACGAUGAAGCCCAGCUUGCUGGGUGGAUUAGUGGCGAACGGGUGAGUAACACGUGAGUAACCUGCCCUUAACUCUGGGAUAAGCCUGGGAAACUGGGUCUAAUACCGGAUAGGAGCGUCCACCGCAUGGUGGGUGUUGGAAAGAUUUAUCGGUUUUGGAUGGACUCGCGGCCUAUCAGCUUGUUGGUGAGGUAAUGGCUCACCAAGGCGACGACGGGUAGCCGGCCUGAGAGGGUGACCGGCCACACUGGGACUGAGACACGGCCCAGACUCCUACGGGAGGCAGCAGUGGGGAAUAUUGCACAAUGGGCGCAAGCCUGAUGCGGCGACGCCGCGUGAGGGAUGACGGCCUUCGGGUUGUAAACCUCUUUCAGUAGGGAAGAAGCGAAAGUGACGGUACCUGCAGAAGAAGCACCGGCUAACUACGUG